Molecule: ribosomal RNA, 253 nt
Filed under: uncultured bacterium
Lineage: Bacteria
Description: partial 16S ribosomal RNA
Rfam family: Bacterial small subunit ribosomal RNA
Source: RNAcentral
UACGUAGGGUGCGAGCGUUAAUCGGAAUUACUGGGCGUAAAGCGUGCGCAGGCGGCUCUGCAAGACAGAUGUGAAAUCCCCGGGCUCAACCUGGGAACUGCAUUUGUGACUGCAAGGCUAGAGUACGGCAGAGGGGGAUGGAAUUCCGCGUGUAGCAGUGAAAUGCGUAGAUAUGCGGAGGAACACCAAUGGCGAAGGCAAUCCCCUGGGCCUGUACUGACGCUCAUGCACGAAAGCGUGGGGAGCAAACAGG